GGAAUUUUGGACAAUGGGCGAAAGCCUGAUCCAGCAAUGCCGCGUGAGUGAAGAAGGCCUUCGGGUUGUAAAGCUCUUUUGUCAGGGAAGAAACGGUGGACUCUAAUACAGAUCACUAAUGACGGUACAUGAAGAAUAAGCAACGGCUAACUACGUGCCAGCAGCCGCGGUAAUAUGUAGGGUGCAAGCGUUAAUCGGAAUUACUGGGCGUAAAGCGUGCGCAGGCGGUUUGGUAAGACAGAUGUGAAAUCCCCGGGCUCAACCUGGGAAUUGCAUUUGUGACUGCCCGGCUAGAGUGUGUCAGAGGGGGGUAGAAUUCCACGUGUAGCAGUGAAAUGCGUAGAGAUGUGGAGGAAUACCGAUGGCGAAGGCAGCCCCCUGGGAUAACACUGACGCUCAUGCACGAAAGCGUGGGGAGCAAAC
Molecule: ribosomal RNA, 423 nt
Filed under: uncultured bacterium
Lineage: Bacteria
Description: bacterial SSU rRNA
Rfam family: Bacterial small subunit ribosomal RNA
Source: RNAcentral